CAGGGAGACAACAAAAUGUUUAAUAUUAUUAUUUUGUCACCUUAGGUCGAUCGGUAUCUCACGUUUUUAAUUUAUUAAGAAUUUCAUUUCCUAAGUUUUUCUAGGUCACACCCAUAUUUUUCCUGGGCCAUUAGCUCAGGUGGUUAGAGCGCACCCCUGAUAAGGGUGAGGUCCCUGGUUCAAGUCCAGGAUGGCCCAUAUCUCUAUGUUGGGGGUAUAGCUCAGUUGGUAGAGCGCCUGCUUUGCAAGCAGGAUGUCAGCGGUUCGAGUCCGCUUACCUCCACUGAUUACCACCUCUUCCAUAACCGGUAGAAAGGAAAUUUUUUGAGUUGUGACCAAAUUCUGAAAGAAUCUAGCUUCCUAAUGAAAUCAUUAAGAUGCUGGACUCAUUGAAUUUAAUUUCAUUGUUUUCAGAGAACCUUGACAACUGCAUAGAUUAUUUUUAAAGACAAUAAGCAUCUUUAAUGAUGCAGAUUUAUUAUUUGUGCGAAUGCAUUAAUAACAAUUCUAUUAAGCUGAUGCUUCAAUUUUGAAGUUAUU
RNAcentral lists this transfer RNA (540 nucleotides) under uncultured Prochlorococcus sp. Its description in RNAcentral is "partial 16S-23S ribosomal RNA intergenic spacer". The stretch from base 211 to 283 matches the Rfam family "tRNA". The record is from RNAcentral. Lineage: Bacteria; Bacillati; Cyanobacteriota; Cyanophyceae; Synechococcales; Prochlorococcaceae.